Molecule: long non-coding RNA, 2942 nt
Filed under: Brassica napus (rape)
Lineage: Eukaryota; Viridiplantae; Streptophyta; Magnoliopsida; Brassicales; Brassicaceae
Description: long non-coding RNA (BNAP_LNC019619)
Source: RNAcentral
UCGCGAGAGGAGGAGAUAUGAAUUAGGAACGAGGGUAGAUCUGUCUUCUUGCCUUCCCUUUAUUUUUUAAAAAAUAAUUAAUUUCCUCGAGCGAAGAAGAGAAGACAAAGAGAGAAGCUGGCCGCUGGGCUCGCAGAUCGGAACCGACAACACUCGCGACUAAACAAUCAAUCAGAUCUGAGCUUCGGUUGGGUUUUAGGGUUCCAAUCACUCCUCACCUCGCGGCGCGCAUCUCAGUAUGAACAGGAGGAGAGGGUUGGAUUUCCGGAGGGCGGGAGGGCGGAGGAAGAUCUCGAACGUGGUCUGGUGGGUGCUCUCCGCGAUUGUAAUCACCCUCUUCAUCCUCAUUCUCUCCAAAGCUACUCAAAUCGAACCAAGAGCCUCCAUUCCCGAGGUGGUUAUACAUCUCUCUCUCCCCUUCUUCUUCUUACUUAAAGUUUAAUUUUAGAACCUUUCUUUCUUGUUACCAACCAGCGGCGUUACCGUCACGAAAAGCUUGUAGAAGGCAUGAACAUGACCGAAGAGAUGCUGAGCCCUACCUCCUUCGCUCGCCAAGUUAACGACCAGAUUGCUUUAGCUAAAGCCUUUGUCGUCAUCGCCAAAGAAAGUAAAAACCUUCAGUUCGCUUGGGACCUCAGCGCUCAGAUCCGCAACUCUCAGCUGCUUCUCUCCACUGCUGCUGCUUCCAGACGCCCCUUGACGGUUCUCGACUCUGAGCCCACUAUCCGCGACAUGGCUGUCUUGCUUUUCCAAGCUCAGCAGCUUCACUACGCAAUUUCCUUUGUUCAAUCAAAUCGUUAUUUACUGUAAUAUUUGUUUGACAAUAUUACCUUGUAUAAGAAAGAUUUGAUAUAUUGGAAGUAUAGUUCUUUGAGUGCAUAUCAAGUUAAUGUACCAACGUGAAUAUAUUGAAUUAAAUGCUCUGAAGAGGAACAUUAUAGAAAUAAGCUCCUAACAAAUAUUCCCUUUGACUUUUACAGGAAAACGUGUCGGCAAAGUAAAUCGAACUACAUCCAAUUCCGGUUUUUCUUCGAGGUAUGUUAACAAUCUUUUUCGGUUAAGCUAUCCAGUGGUUAACGAUUUUUUAGAGUUUAAAAAAUUAAAAACUAUCGUACAUGACAUAUAACUUUGGUUUAAAAGUAAUAUCCCCUUUUAAAAAAAAAACAAACAUGGGAUACAAUUUCAAUAUAAUCCACUUUUUGCAUUUAAAUCAGUGUACAUAUUAUGAAAUAUACAUAUAAUUUUAAACAUAUAAUUUUUUGCAUUUAAAUCAGUGCCAUCAUGUAACAUGUGUAUGUUACGUUAUAACCUAAGUUUAGUAGAACUUGAGAAAAACAAAUAAAAAACUUGCGAAAACUUUAUUAAUUAUACAUGAACAAAUAAAUAUUUGCUACAAAAGUUUGUUGAGCAUCGAUGGUUUUAUUGAUCGUACAUCACUUGAACUAAGAUCAAGUUUUGAUCCAUGUGUUACACUUUCUGAUAAACAUAUAUAAACAUUUUUUGAAUUUCGAAUGUUCAAUGACAGGCUCAAUUUUAAGUUUAGGAUGUUAAAUUAUAAUGUUCAUUGAUCUUGCCCCAUUUCAUAUGUUCAUUCAGUUUUUUCGUAUAGUUGUAACGGACACCACCUGUCAAAAAGUUUAAAAAGAAAUAAGAGUUAUUAGUGUAACUGGUUUAAAGGAGAAUCAGAUUCAUUGAUGGGGGCGUAACUUUCGUAACCAUUCAUUAUAUGUAUAUUAAUAUAGAAUAACUUGUCGGUAGUUUAAAUAUAGGUUGGUCCAUGCGACCAAAAAAUGUAAUGUAAUCUCUAAUAAAAAAAAAUAUAUUUAAUGUGUAUUCCGAGGAACACUGUCAGGCUGACACGUCAGCUUUGUACUUUAAGUUACAACUUAAAAAAUGUUUUCCAAUUAAUAGAAAGGGGAUCAUACUAUUUCGCUUAAUCAUGUUCUCUAGUAUGUUAUUCAUUUGAAAUUUCAAAUUUUGCGAAAGUUAUAUCAAAAUAUCUCUAAUGAAAUAUUUAUAUAAUUUCUGAUAAAUACAAAUCAGAAGACCAGAGUGAUCACACAAUUUAAUAGCCAAGAAAAGCCGUGGCUUUGAAGCUCAAAUACCACUACUAUCUAUCGGAUUUUAAUUAAAGUCGGUAGAAUCCACGGACCAUUUGCUGCAAACCGACAACUGGUGUCGCGAGAGGAGGAGAUAUGAAUUAGGAACGAGGGUAGAUCUGUCUUCUUGCCUUCCCUUUAUUUUUUAAAAAAUAAUUAAUUUCCUCGAGCGAAGAAGAGAAGACAAAGAGAGAAGCUGGCCGCUGGGCUCGCAGAUCGGAACCGACAACACUCGCGACUAAACAAUCAAUCAGAUCUGAGCUUCGGUUGGGUUUUAGGGUUCCAAUCACUCCUCACCUCGCGGCGCGCAUCUCAGUAUGAACAGGAGGAGAGGGUUGGAUUUCCGGAGGGCGGGAGGGCGGAGGAAGAUCUCGAACGUGGUCUGGUGGGUGCUCUCCGCGAUUGUAAUCACCCUCUUCAUCCUCAUUCUCUCCAAAGCUACUCAAAUCGAACCAAGAGCCUCCAUUCCCGAGGUGGUUAUACAUCUCUCUCUCCCCUUCUUCUUCUUACUUAAAGUUUAAUUUUAGAACCUUUCUUUCUUGUUACCAACCAGCGGCGUUACCGUCACGAAAAGCUUGUAGAAGGCAUGAACAUGACCGAAGAGAUGCUGAGCCCUACCUCCUUCGCUCGCCAAGUUAACGACCAGAUUGCUUUAGCUAAAGCCUUUGUCGUCAUCGCCAAAGAAAGUAAAAACCUUCAGUUCGCUUGGGACCUCAGCGCUCAGAUCCGCAACUCUCAGCUGCUUCUCUCCACUGCUGCUGCUUCCAGACGCCCCUUGACGGUUCUCGACUCUGAGCCCACUAUCCGCGACAUGGCUGUCUUGCUUUUCCAAGCUCAGCAGCU